AAUGAACGCUGGCGGCAUGCCUAACACAUGCAAGUCGAACGAAGGCUUCGGCCUUAGUGGCGCACGGGUGCGUAACGCGUGGGAAUCUGCCCUCAGGUUCGGAAUAACAGCGAGAAAUUGCUGCUAAUACCGGAUGAUAUCGCGAGAUCAAAGAUUUAUCGCCUGAGGAUGAGCCCGCGUAGGAUUAGCUAGUUGGUGUGGUAAAGGCGCACCAAGGCGACGAUCCUUAGCUGGUCUGAGAGGAUGAUCAGCCACACUGGGACUGAGACACGGCCCAGACUCCUACGGGGGGAAGCAGUGGGGAAUAUUGGACAAUGGGCGAAAGCCUGAUCCAGCAAUGCCGCGUGAGGGAUGAAGGCCUAGGGUUGUAAAGCUCUUUUACCCGGGAUGAUAAUGACAGUACCGGGAGAAUAAGCUCCGGCUAACUCCGUGCCAGCCGCCGCAGUAA
RNAcentral lists this ribosomal RNA (448 nucleotides) under uncultured bacterium. RNAcentral's name for it is "partial 16S ribosomal RNA". It matches the Rfam family "Bacterial small subunit ribosomal RNA", at positions 29 to 523 of the family's 1533-position model. The record is from RNAcentral.